UCGAACUCCUGACCUCAGGUGAUCCGCCUGC
This 31-nucleotide non-coding RNA is filed under the name Homo sapiens (human). Lineage: Eukaryota; Metazoa; Chordata; Mammalia; Primates; Hominidae. The record is from RNAcentral.